RNAcentral lists this ribosomal RNA (448 nucleotides) under uncultured bacterium. RNAcentral describes it as "SSU rRNA". It matches the Rfam family "Bacterial small subunit ribosomal RNA", at positions 26 to 518 of the family's 1533-position model. The record is from RNAcentral.
AGAGCGAACGCUGGCGGCAGGCCUAACACAUGCAAGUCGAGCGCCCGUAGCAAUACGGGAGCGGCAGACGGGAUAGUAACACGUGGGAACGCGCCCUUCGGUUCGGAAUAACUCAGGGAAACUUGAGCUAAUACCGGAUACGCCCUUACGGGGAAAGAUUUAUUGCCGAAGGAACGGCCCGCGUCCGAUUAGCUAGUUGGUGAGGUAAUGGCUCACCAAGGCGACGAUCGGUAGCUGGUCUGAGAGGAUGACCAGCAUCACUGGGACUGAGACACGGCCCAGACUCCUACGGGAGGCAGCAGUGGGGAAUAUGGACAAUGGGCGCAAGCCUGAUCCAGCCAUGCCGCGUGGAUGAUGAAGGCCUUAGGGUUGUAAAGUCCUUUUAACGGGGAAGAUAAUGACGGUACCCGUAGAAUAAGCCCCGGACUAACUUCGUGCCAGCAGCCGC